Molecule: non-coding RNA, 72 nt
Organism: Ictidomys tridecemlineatus (thirteen-lined ground squirrel)
Lineage: Eukaryota; Metazoa; Chordata; Mammalia; Rodentia; Sciuridae
Source: Rfam
UGGGGUUUGGCUCAGUGGUAGAGCACUUGCCUAACACAUGUGAAGCACUGGGUUCGAUUCUCAGCACCACAU